AGCUGGUCCAAAGGUAGUGAGUUAUCUCAAUUGAUUGUGCACAGUCAACUACAAAUUGAACUGCUUGUUUGAUCUACCCUUUCCCCACUUCUAAACUACUACAAUUCACUAGUCUAAA
Unclassified non-coding RNA from Chlorocebus sabaeus (green monkey), 118 nucleotides. It matches the Rfam family "Y RNA". Rfam says of the family: Y RNAs are components of the Ro ribonucleoprotein particle (Ro RNP), in association with Ro60 and La proteins. The Y RNAs and Ro60 and La proteins are well conserved, but the function of the Ro RNP is not known. Lineage: Eukaryota; Metazoa; Chordata; Mammalia; Primates; Cercopithecidae. The record is from Ensembl.